RNAcentral lists this transfer RNA (106 nucleotides) under Ictidomys tridecemlineatus (thirteen-lined ground squirrel). RNAcentral describes it as "Spermophilus tridecemlineatus (thirteen-lined ground squirrel) tRNA". It matches the Rfam family "tRNA". Rfam says of the family: Transfer RNA (tRNA) molecules are approximately 80 nucleotides in length. Their secondary structure includes four short double-helical elements and three loops (D, anti-codon, and T loops). Lineage: Eukaryota; Metazoa; Chordata; Mammalia; Rodentia; Sciuridae. The record is from Rfam by way of RNAcentral.
GGAAAUGUAGCUCAGUUGGUAGAGUGCUUGCCUUGCAUGCAAACCCUAGCAAAACACACACACACACACACACACACACACACACACACAAUGUCAGUCAUUUUCC